ACGCACGCUGGCGGCGUGCCUAAUACAUGCAAGUAGAACGCACAGUUUAUACCGUAGCUUGCUACACCAUAGACUGUGAGUUGCGAACGGGUGAGUAACGCGUAGGUAACCUGCCUGGUAGCGGGGGAUAACUAUUGGAAACGAUAGCUAAUACCGCAUAAUAUUAAUUAUUGCAUGAUAAUUAAUUGAAAGGUGCAAUUGCACCACUACCAGAUGGACCUGCGUUGUAUUAGCUAGUAGGUGAGGUAACGGCUCACCUAGGCGACGAUACAUAGCCGACCUGAGGGGGUGAUCGGCCACACUGGGACUGAGACACGGCCCAGACUCCUACGGGAGGCAGCAGUAGGGAAUCUUCGGCAAUGGACGAAAGUCUGACCGAGCAACGCCGCGUGAGUGAAGAAGGUUUUCGGAUCGUAAAGCUCUGUUGUAAGAGAAGAACGGGUGUGAGAGUGGAAAGUUCACACUGUGACGGUAUCUUACCAGAAAGGGACGGCUAACUACGUG
This 504-nucleotide ribosomal RNA is filed under the name uncultured bacterium. RNAcentral describes it as "partial 16S ribosomal RNA". It matches the Rfam family "Bacterial small subunit ribosomal RNA", at positions 29 to 507 of the family's 1533-position model. The record is from RNAcentral.